RNAcentral lists this ribosomal RNA (253 nucleotides) under uncultured bacterium. Its description in RNAcentral is "partial 16S ribosomal RNA". It matches the Rfam family "Bacterial small subunit ribosomal RNA", at positions 524 to 776 of the family's 1533-position model. The record is from RNAcentral.
UACAGAGGGGGCAAGCGUUGUUCGGAAUUACUGGGCGUAAAGGGCGCGUAGGCGGCCUGCUAAGUCGAACGUGAAAUCCCUGGGCUCAACCCAGGAACUGCGUCCGAUACUGGUUGGCUUGAAUCCGGGAGAGGGAUGUGGAAUUCCAGGUGUAGCGGUGAAAUGCGUAGAUAUCUGGAGGAACAUCGGUGGCGAAGGCGGCAUCCUGGACCGGUAUUGACGCUGAGGCGCGAAAGCCAGGGGAGCAGACGGG